RNAcentral lists this transfer RNA (69 nucleotides) under Phrynosoma platyrhinos (Desert horned lizard). Its description in RNAcentral is "tRNA-OTHER". Lineage: Eukaryota; Metazoa; Chordata; Lepidosauria; Squamata; Phrynosomatidae. The record is from RNAcentral.
AGCAUGGUGUAGUGGUUUGAGUGUUGGACUACAACUCUGGAAACCUGGGUUCAAUUCCCCACUUUGCUA